RNAcentral lists this ribosomal RNA (110 nucleotides) under Caerostris darwini. The record is from RNAcentral. Lineage: Eukaryota; Metazoa; Arthropoda; Arachnida; Araneae; Araneidae.
CGGCCGUACCAUGCUGAAUAUACCGGUUCUCGUUAGAUCACCGAAGUCAAGCAUCAUUGGGCGCGGUCAGUACUUGGGUGGGAGACCACCUGGGAACACCGCGUGCCGUU